UACGGAGGGAGCUAGCGUUGUUCGGAAUUACUGGGCGUAAAGCGCGUGUAGGCGGCCCGGAAAGUCGGAUGUGAAAGCCCUGGGCUUAACCUAGGAAGUGCAUUCGAAACUGUUGGGCUUGAGUUCUGGAGAGGAAGGCGGAAUUCUCGGUGUAGAGGUGAAAUUCGUAGAUAUCGAGAGGAACACCGGUGGCGAAGGCGGCCUUCUGGACAGUGACUGACGCUGAGACGCGAAAGCGUGGGGAGCAAACAGG
Molecule: ribosomal RNA, 253 nt
Filed under: uncultured bacterium
Lineage: Bacteria
Description: partial 16S ribosomal RNA
Rfam family: Bacterial small subunit ribosomal RNA
Source: RNAcentral